GGACUACCAGGGUAUCUAAUCCCUUUUGCUCCCCACGCUUUCGUGCCUGAGCGUCAGCAAUUGUCCAGGUAGCCGCCUUCGCCUCUGGUGUUCCUCACGAUAUCUACGCAUUUCACUGCUACACCGUGAAUUCCGCUACCCUCUCCAAUGCUCUAGCCAUGUAGUUUGAGGUGCAAUUCCGGGGUUAAGCCCCGGGCUUUCACGCCUCACACACUUGGCCGCCUGCGCACCCUUUACGCCCAGUGAAUCCGAAUAACGCUUGCAGUCUCUGUAUUACCGCGGCUGCUGGCAC
Molecule: ribosomal RNA, 292 nt
Filed under: uncultured Verrucomicrobiota bacterium
Lineage: Bacteria; Pseudomonadati; Verrucomicrobiota
Description: uncultured Verrucomicrobia bacterium partial 16S ribosomal RNA
Source: RNAcentral